AGAGUUUGAUCCUGGCUCAGAACGAACGCUGGCGGCGUGCCUAACACAUGCAAGUCGUACGAGAAAAUCCGCUUCGGCGGGUGAGUAAAGUGGCGCACGGGUGAGUAACGCGUGGAUAAUCUGCCUUUAAGCGGGGAAUAACUUACCGAAAGGUGGGCUAAUACCCCAUAAAGCUAUGGAGCUCCGGUUUUCAUAGCCAAAGAGAGCCUCUGCAUGCAAGCCCUCACUUAGAGAUGAGUCCGCGUACCAUUAGCUAGUUGGUGGGGUAAUGGCCUACCAAGGCGACGAUGGUUAGCUGGUCUGAGAGGAUGAUCAGCCACACUGGAACUGAGACACGGUCCAGACUCCUACGGGAGGCAGCAGUGGGGAAUCUUCCGCAAUGGGCGAAAGCCUGACGGAGCAACGCCGCGUGAGUGAUUAAGGCCUUCGGGUUGUAAAACUCUGUCAUCAGGGAAGAAAAUAAUGACGGUACCUGAGGAGGAAGCCCCGGCUAACUACGUGCCAGCAGCCGCGGUAAAACGUAGGGGGCGAGCGUUGUCCGGAAUUACUGGGCGUAAAGGGCGCGUAGGCGGUUGUCCAAGUCAGAGGUGGAAACUCUGGGCUCAACUCAGAGCGUGCCUCUGAAACUGGGCGACUUGAGGGCAGGAGAGGGGAGUGGAAUUCCCAGUGUAGCGGUGAAAUGCGUAGAUAUUGGGAGGAACACCAGUGGCGAAGGCGACUCUCUGGCCUGUUUCUGACGCUGAGGCGCGAAAGCGUGGGGAGCGAACGGGAUUAGAUACCCCGGUAGUCCACGCCGUAAACGAUGGA
RNAcentral lists this ribosomal RNA (807 nucleotides) under uncultured bacterium. RNAcentral's name for it is "bacterial SSU rRNA". It matches the Rfam family "Bacterial small subunit ribosomal RNA", at positions 8 to 813 of the family's 1533-position model. The record is from RNAcentral.